Molecule: ribosomal RNA, 164 nt
Filed under: Corymbium enerve
Lineage: Eukaryota; Viridiplantae; Streptophyta; Magnoliopsida; Asterales; Asteraceae
Description: 5.8S ribosomal RNA
Rfam family: 5.8S ribosomal RNA
About the family: 5.8S ribosomal RNA (5.8S rRNA) is a component of the large subunit of the eukaryotic ribosome. It is transcribed by RNA polymerase I as part of the 45S precursor that also contains 18S and 28S rRNA.
Source: RNAcentral
UAAACGACUCUCGGCAACGGAUAUCUCGGCUCACGCAUCGAUGAAGAACGUAGCAAAAUGCGAUACUUGGUGUGAAUUGCAGAAUCCCGUGAACCAUCGAGUUUUUGAACGCAAGUUGCGCCCGAAGCCAUCCGGCCGAGGGCACGUCUGCCUGGGCGUCACGC